RNAcentral lists this microRNA precursor (97 nucleotides) under Macaca fascicularis (crab-eating macaque). RNAcentral's name for it is "mir-544 microRNA precursor family". It matches the Rfam family "mir-544 microRNA precursor family". Lineage: Eukaryota; Metazoa; Chordata; Mammalia; Primates; Cercopithecidae. The record is from Rfam by way of RNAcentral. RNAcentral also lists the same sequence under 2 other names.
AUUACCCAGGAAUCUUAUUAAAAUGUAGAUUCUGAGUCAGCUGAUCUGGCAUGGUGCCAAGAUUCUGCAUUUCUAACAAGUUCCCAGGUGAUUAGAA